Molecule: transfer RNA, 71 nt
Filed under: Tambocerus sp. PY-2015
Lineage: Eukaryota; Metazoa; Arthropoda; Insecta; Hemiptera; Cicadellidae
Description: tRNA-Cys
Rfam family: tRNA
About the family: Transfer RNA (tRNA) molecules are approximately 80 nucleotides in length.
Source: RNAcentral
GGUCUUAUAGUUUAAGAGAUAAAACUUUAAAUUGCAAAUUUAAGUAUGGUAUUUGUAUAUAUCUAAGACUU